Molecule: small nucleolar RNA, 141 nt
Organism: Rattus norvegicus (Norway rat)
Lineage: Eukaryota; Metazoa; Chordata; Mammalia; Rodentia; Muridae
Product: small nucleolar RNA SNORA48
Source: Ensembl
CCCCCCUGGCAGUGGGCAGAGACACCAUGUUGGUGGUGGUGUUCUUAUGUCAGUCAGGGCAGAGCAGAAGGCAGUCCUUUGUUCACCCUAGCUUGAUGCCUGGCUUGGUGGCCAAAGCUGUCUUAUGCCUAGGACACAUAA